GAUGAAGAACGUAGCGAAAUGCGAUAAGUAGUGUGAAUUGCAGAAUUCAGUGAAUCAUCGAAUCUUUGAACGCACAUUGCGCCCCUUGGUAUUCCAUGGGGCAUGCCUGUUCGAGCGUCAUUUGUACCUUCAAGCUUUGCUUGGUGUUGGGUGUUUGUCCUGAGGGACUCGCCUUAAAGGUAUUGGCAGCGGUCGUGCCAGCUUCUCGCGCAGCACAUUGCGCUUCUCGAGGCGGUCGAUCGGCGUCCACGAAGCUCACCUCCACCGUUUGACCUCGGAUCAGGUAGGGAUACCCGCUGAACUUAAGCAUAUCAAUAAGCGGAGGA
RNAcentral lists this unclassified non-coding RNA (326 nucleotides) under soil metagenome. Its description in RNAcentral is "partial contains 5.8S ribosomal RNA, internal transcribed spacer 2, and large subunit ribosomal RNA". The stretch from base 1 to 120 matches the Rfam family "5.8S ribosomal RNA", at positions 35 to 154 of the family's 154-position model. The record is from RNAcentral.